UACGGAGGGUGCAAGCGUUAAUCGGAAUUACUGGGCGUAAAGGGUGCGUAGGUUGUUUGUUAAGUUAUCUGUGAAAUUCCUGGGCUUAACCUGGGCAGGUCAGAUAAUACUGGCGGACUUUGAGUAUAGGAGAGGGUAGUGGAAUUUCCGGUGUAGCGGUGAAAUGCGUAGAGAUCGGAAGGAACACCAGUGGCGAAGGCGGCUACCUGGCCUAAUACUGACACUGAGGCACGAAAGCGUGGGGAGCAAACAGG
RNAcentral lists this unclassified non-coding RNA (254 nucleotides) under uncultured Legionellaceae bacterium. RNAcentral describes it as "contains 16S-23S intergenic spacer region". It matches the Rfam family "Bacterial small subunit ribosomal RNA", at positions 524 to 776 of the family's 1533-position model. Lineage: Bacteria; Pseudomonadati; Pseudomonadota; Gammaproteobacteria; Legionellales; Legionellaceae. The record is from RNAcentral.